This 450-nucleotide ribosomal RNA is filed under the name uncultured bacterium. RNAcentral's name for it is "partial 16S ribosomal RNA". It matches the Rfam family "Bacterial small subunit ribosomal RNA", at positions 29 to 523 of the family's 1533-position model. The record is from RNAcentral.
AACGAACGCUGGCGGCAGGCUUAACACAUGCAAGUCGAACGAUGUAGCAAUACAUAGUGGCGCACGGGUGAGUAACGCGUGGGAAUGUACCUUUUAGUGGGGGAUAACUCCGGGAAACUGGAGCUAAUACCGCAUACGCCCUUCGGGGGAAAGAUUUAUCGCUAAAGGAUCAGCCCGCGUGAGAUUAUGGUAGUUGGUGAGGUAAUGGCUCACCAAGCCGACGAUCUCUAGCUGGUCUGAGAGGACGACCAGCCACACUGGAACUGAGACACGGUCCAGACUCCUACGGGAGGCAGCAGUGGGGAAUAUUGGGCAAUGGAGGCAACUUUGACCCAGCCAUGCCGCGUGAGUGGUGAAGGCUCUAGGGUUGUAAAGCUCUUUCGCCGAUGAAGAUAAUGACGGUAGUCGGAGAAGAAGCCCCGGCUAACUUCGUGCCAGCAGCCACUGUAA